This 77-nucleotide transfer RNA is filed under the name Chlorobiota bacterium. RNAcentral's name for it is "Chlorobi bacterium (sediment metagenome) tRNA-Met". It matches the Rfam family "tRNA". Rfam says of the family: Transfer RNA (tRNA) molecules are approximately 80 nucleotides in length. Their secondary structure includes four short double-helical elements and three loops (D, anti-codon, and T loops). The record is from RNAcentral. Lineage: Bacteria; Pseudomonadati; Chlorobiota.
GCCGAGGUAGCUCAGCAGGUUAGAGCAGCGGAAUCAUAAUCCGCGUGUCGGGGGUUCGAAUCCCUCCCUCGGCACUA